GGGUUGUGAGGUUAAGCGACUAAGCGUACACGGUGGAUGCCCUGGCAGUCAGAGGCGAUGAAGGACGUGCUAAUCUGCGAUAAGCGUCGGUAAGGUGAUAUGAACCGUUAUAACCGGCGAUUUCCGAAUGGGGAAACCCAGUGUGUUUCGACACACUAUCAUUAACUGAAUCCAUAGGUUAAUGAGGCGAACCGGGGGAACUGAAACAUCUAAGUACCCCGAGGAAAAGAAAUCAACCGAGAUUCCCCCAGUAGCGGCGAGCGAACGGGGAGCAGCCCAGAGCCUGAAUCAGUGUGUGUGUUAGUGGAAGCGUCUGGAAAGGCGCGCGAUACAGGGUGACAGCCCCGUACACAAAAAUGCACAUGCUGUGAGCUCGAUGAGUAGGGCGGGACACGUGGUAUCCUGUCUGAAUAUGGGGGGACCAUCCUCCAAGGCUAAAUACUCCUGACUGACCGAUAGUGAACCAGUACCGUGAGGGAAAGGCGAAAAGAACCCCGGCGAGGGGAGUGAAAAAGAACCUGAAACCGUGUACGUACAAGCAGUGGGAGCACGCUUCGGCGUGUGACUGCGUACCUUUUGUAUAAUGGGUCAGCGACUUAUAUUCUGUAGCAAGGUUAACCGAAUAGGGGAGCCGAAGGGAAACCGAGUCUUAACUGGGCGUUAAGUUGCAGGGUAUAGACCCGAAACCCGGUGAUCUAGCCAUGGGCAGGUUGAAGGUUGGGUAACACUAACUGGAGGACCGAACCGACUAAUGUUGAAAAAUUAGCGGAUGACUUGUGGCUGGGGGUGAAAGGCCAAUCAAACCGGGAGAUAGCUGGUUCUCCCCGAAAGCUAUUUAGGUAGCGCCUCGUGAAUUCAUCUCCGGGGGUAGAGCACUGUUUCGGCAAGGGGGUCAUCCCGACUUACCAACCCGAUGCAAACUGCGAAUACCGGAGAAUGUUAUCACGGGAGACACACGGCGGGUGCUAACGUCCGUCGUGAAGAGGGAAACAACCCAGACCGCCAGCUAAGGUCCCAAAGUCAUGGUUAAGUGGGAAACGAUGUGGGAAGGCCCAGACAGCCAGGAUGUUGGCUUAGAAGCAGCCAUCAUUUAAAGAAAGCGUAAUAGCUCACUGGUCGAGUCGGCCUGCGCGGAAGAUGUAACGGGGCUAAACCAUGCACCGAAGCUGCGGCAGCGACGCUUAUGCGUUGUUGGGUAGGGGAGCGUUCUGUAAGCCUGCGAAGGUGUGCUGUGAGGCAUGCUGGAGGUAUCAGAAGUGCGAAUGCUGACAUAAGUAACGAUAAAGCGGGUGAAAAGCCCGCUCGCCGGAAGACCAAGGGUUCCUGUCCAACGUUAAUCGGGGCAGGGUGAGUCGACCCCUAAGGCGAGGCCGAAAGGCGUAGUCGAUGGGAAACAGGUUAAUAUUCCUGUACUUGGUGUUACUGCGAAGGGGGGACGGAGAAGGCUAUGUUGGCCGGGCGACGGUUGUCCCGGUUUAAGCGUGUAGGCUGGUUUUCCAGGCAAAUCCGGAAAAUCAAGGCUGAGGCGUGAUGACGAGGCACUACGGUGCUGAAGCAACAAAUGCCCUGCUUCCAGGAAAAGCCUCUAAGCAUCAGGUAACAUCAAAUCGUACCCCAAACCGACACAGGUGGUCAGGUAGAGAAUACCAAGGCGCUUGAGAGAACUCGGGUGAAGGAACUAGGCAAAAUGGUGCCGUAACUUCGGGAGAAGGCACGCUGAUAUGUAGGUGAAGUCCCUCGCGGAUGGAGCUGAAAUCAGUCGAAGAUACCAGCUGGCUGCAACUGUUUAUUAAAAACACAGCACUGUGCAAACACGAAAGUGGACGUAUACGGUGUGACGCCUGCCCGGUGCCGGAAGGUUAAUUGAUGGGGUUAGCCGCAAGGCGAAGCUCUUGAUCGAAGCCCCGGUAAACGGCGGCCGUAACUAUAACGGUCCUAAGGUAGCGAAAUUCCUUGUCGGGUAAGUUCCGACCUGCACGAAUGGCGUAAUGAUGGCCAGGCUGUCUCCACCCGAGACUCAGUGAAAUUGAACUCGCUGUGAAGAUGCAGUGUACCCGCGGCAAGACGGAAAGACCCCGUGAACCUUUACUAUAGCUUGACACUGAACAUUGAGCCUUGAUGUGUAGGAUAGGUGGGAGGCUUUGAAGUGUGGACGCCAGUCUGCAUGGAGCCGACCUUGAAAUACCACCCUUUAAUGUUUGAUGUUCUAACGUUGACCCGUAAUCCGGGUUGCGGACAGUGUCUGGUGGGUAGUUUGACUGGGGCGGUCUCCUCCUAAAGAGUAACGGAGGAGCACGAAGGUUGGCUAAUCCUGGUCGGACAUCAGGAGGUUAGUGCAAUGGCAUAAGCCAGCUUGACUGCGAGCGUGACGGCGCGAGCAGGUGCGAAAGCAGGUCAUAGUGAUCCGGUGGUUCUGAAUGGAAGGGCCAUCGCUCAACGGAUAAAAGGUACUCCGGGGAUAACAGGCUGAUACCGCCCAAGAGUUCAUAUCGACGGCGGUGUUUGGCACCUCGAUGUCGGCUCAUCACAUCCUGGGGCUGAAGUAGGUCCCAAGGGUAUGGCUGUUCGCCAUUUAAAGUGGUACGCGAGCUGGGUUUAGAACGUCGUGAGACAGUUCGGUCCCUAUCUGCCGUGGGCGCUGGAGAACUGAGGGGGGCUGCUCCUAGUACGAGAGGACCGGAGUGGACGCAUCACUGGUGUUCGGGUUGUCAUGCCAAUGGCACUGCCCGGUAGCUAAAUGCGGAAGAGAUAAGUGCUGAAAGCAUCUAAGCACGAAACUUGCCCCGAGAUGAGUUCUCCCUGACCCUUUAAGGGUCCUGAAGGAACGUUGAAGACGACGACGUUGAUAGGCCGGGUGUGUAAGCGCAGCGAUGCGUUGAGCUAACCGGUACUAAUGAACCGUGAGGCUUAACCUUACAACGCCGAAG
This 2927-nucleotide ribosomal RNA is filed under the name Escherichia coli. RNAcentral describes it as "23S ribosomal RNA". It matches the Rfam family "Bacterial large subunit ribosomal RNA". Lineage: Bacteria; Pseudomonadati; Pseudomonadota; Gammaproteobacteria; Enterobacterales; Enterobacteriaceae. The record is from RNAcentral.